UGAAUACUCCCUCCGUCCCAUAUUAAUUGUCUUAAAUUUGCCAAAAUAUGGAUGUAUCUAUACACAAAAGUGUCUAGAUACAUGUAAUAUUUCGUCACUUAAUAUGGGACAGAGGGAGUAACUA
Molecule: non-coding RNA, 124 nt
Organism: Brachypodium distachyon (stiff brome)
Lineage: Eukaryota; Viridiplantae; Streptophyta; Magnoliopsida; Poales; Poaceae
Source: Rfam